AUGUGACCUCAAAUCAGGUAGGACUACCCGCUGAACUUAAGCAUAUCAAUAAGCGGAGGAAAAGAAACUAACAAGGAUUCCCCUAGUAACUGCGAGUGAAGCGGGAAAAGCUCAAAUUUAAAAUCUGGCAGUCUUUUGGCUGUCCGAGUUGUAAUCUAGA
Molecule: ribosomal RNA, 160 nt
Filed under: Cortinarius anisatus
Lineage: Eukaryota; Fungi; Basidiomycota; Agaricomycetes; Agaricales; Cortinariaceae
Description: partial 28S ribosomal RNA
Rfam family: Eukaryotic large subunit ribosomal RNA
Source: RNAcentral